RNAcentral lists this ribosomal RNA (164 nucleotides) under Lilium distichum (Manchurian turk's-cap lily). Its description in RNAcentral is "5.8S ribosomal RNA". It matches the Rfam family "5.8S ribosomal RNA". Rfam says of the family: 5.8S ribosomal RNA (5.8S rRNA) is a component of the large subunit of the eukaryotic ribosome. Lineage: Eukaryota; Viridiplantae; Streptophyta; Magnoliopsida; Liliales; Liliaceae. The record is from RNAcentral.
UAUACGACUCUCGGCAACGGAUAUCUCGGCUCUCGCAUCGAUGAAAAACGUAACGAAAUGCGAUACUUGGUGUGAAUUGCAAAAUCCCGUGAACCAUCGAGUCUUUGAACGCAAUUUGCGCCCCAGGCCUUUCGGUUGAGGGCACCCCUGCCUGGGCGUCACCC